Molecule: unclassified non-coding RNA, 378 nt
Filed under: uncultured Actinomycetes bacterium
Lineage: Bacteria; Bacillati; Actinomycetota; Actinomycetes
Description: uncultured actinobacterium contains 16S-23S intergenic spacer region
Source: RNAcentral
UCCGAGUUGACCCCGGCAGUCUCUCACGAGUCCCCGCCAUUACGCGCUGGCAACAUAAGAUAAGGGUUGCGCUCGUUGCGGGACUUAACCCAACAUCUCACGACACGAACUGACGACAGCCAUGCACCACCUGCACACCAGCCACAAGGGAACCGACAUCUCUGCCGGCGUCUAGUGCAUGUCAAACCCAGGUAAGGUUCUUCGCGUUGCAUCGAAUUAAUCCACAUGCUCCGCCGCUUGUGCGGGCCCCCGUCAAUUCCUUUGAGUUUUAGCCUUGCGGCCGUACUCCCCAGGCGGGGUGCUUAAUGCGUUAGCUGCGGCACGGAUCCCGUCGAUAGGGACCCACACCUAGUGCCCAUCGUUUACGGCUAGGACUAC